This 1452-nucleotide long non-coding RNA is filed under the name Triticum aestivum (bread wheat). RNAcentral describes it as "long non-coding RNA (TAES_LNC016170)". The record is from RNAcentral. Lineage: Eukaryota; Viridiplantae; Streptophyta; Magnoliopsida; Poales; Poaceae.
UAGAAAUGUUUUCGUGUCACAUCAUAAGUGGAGGCCCCAGUACAAGAAACAAGGAGUAGUGAACCAAGGAAAUACAUUGCAAAUAGAACACAUCAAGAAUUUCUCGGAAGAAUAAAAAAUAGAGGACCACACGUACUUAAAACUGAAGGAAGCAAUAUUCUUGUUCAUGGUGGCACUUUAGCAAACACAGGGUAUGCGCCUCAUAUAGAUAUCUACACAGAGUCAACACUUAGCUCUUCACGGCCAUUGUCGAGCACUACACUGCUCCUCAAGAAGGGCACUACUUCUCAUUCUAUAAUUACUGAAUGUCGCCAAUACAAAUGUCUGAACUUUGACUACCAUCAACUAAUUUUGCCCAAUUGAAAAUGCUUCUUCUGCGAAAAUUGUUGUAGCAUACUCACGCACAUAACACGCAUGCACACAACCAUGGAAGAGAAAGUCGAAGGGGAAAAGAAUAAGAGUAGGAGUUCAUUAAAAAAAUCUUGUUCCUUUUCGUCACACGUUUUUUCAGUAAUGAAACAGCCUGCAUGGUCCUUUGCCACCAGACAAUAGCAUUACCUGAACUUUAACCCCCACCCAAUUGAAAAUGCAGCUCCCUCGGCACGACGCCCAGGAUGCCGGACAGACGCACGCCACACCCUGCCGUCGUCGGUGUUGCAUGCCUGUUGGGGCGACACUGCUGCAUGUCGCGCUCCAUCUGAAGCUUCAACGGCUAAAAUGGAAGCUGUGGGGGAAGGAAACAAAGCACCGUAAGCUAGCUAUAACGAAGGUGAAGAAGUAGCAACAGAGGCAGUAGGUGCAGAGGAGGGGUGUACUGCCAGAGAAAUUGAGAUGGCGGUCUAAGAAACUGACACCAUGCUAUAUCAAAACAUGUUGUUUGUUAUUUUUUGAAAGAAUCCGUGUUUGUAAAGUCUGGCACUGAUCUAGGGAGAUGCAUCAUCAUAAAAAAAUAUAGAGAACUGAAUACUUGGGAAAACAAAUUGAAGUAUCUGUAGGGAGAAAUCAACUUGAACCGGUAAUACAGCCAAACUGUUCAUCCCUUUUCAUAUAAUUUCACACGGAUGCAGAGUAUACUGAUCAAAAUGUGUUUUUUUGGUAUGCACAUGAGACUAUAAGCUUCAGAUGAUGGAAUGUUGGUCACAAAAAAUUUGUAAUAAUCUAUGAAGAAGCUAAGAAAUGAAAAAUAGGGAAAAAACACUCUGAAUGUACUAAACAAAUACUGCACAGCCUGAACCUUAAUCCACAUUAAUUCUGAACUUCACCACUACCCUGCAAAAUAUGAUGAGUUGGUUCUCAUCGUGCCACCGCUAGAAGCCAAGGCGCGCAAAUAUGGAAUGGGAGCAGGACACGCCGGCAGUUCUACUACUCCAUGCGAUAGGGUUCAAUCAUCUAAGAUGGGAGUUGGAAGCGACAGGAGGAGGAAGGUCAGUGCGCGUUUGGAGAGAAGGUCAC